CGGACGGGUGAGUAACACGUGGAUAACCUACCUAUAAGACUGGGAUAACUUCGGGAAACCGGAGCUAAUACCGGAUAAUAUAUUGAACCGUAUGGUUCAAUAGUGAAAGACGGUUUUGCUGUCACUUAUAGAUGGAUCCGCGCCGCAUUAGCUAGUUGGUAAGGUAACGGCUUACCAAGGCAACGAUGCGUAGCCGACCUGAGAGGGUGAUCGGCCACACUGGAACUGAGACACGGUCCAG
Molecule: ribosomal RNA, 241 nt
Filed under: uncultured Staphylococcus sp.
Lineage: Bacteria; Bacillati; Bacillota; Bacilli; Caryophanales; Staphylococcaceae
Description: partial 16S ribosomal RNA
Rfam family: Bacterial small subunit ribosomal RNA
Source: RNAcentral